Molecule: ribosomal RNA, 2585 nt
Filed under: Komagataeibacter nataicola
Lineage: Bacteria; Pseudomonadati; Pseudomonadota; Alphaproteobacteria; Acetobacterales; Acetobacteraceae
Description: bacterial LSU rRNA
Rfam family: Bacterial large subunit ribosomal RNA
Source: RNAcentral
AUGAGCGCGAUAAGGGCAUUCGGUGGAUGCCUUGGCACCAGGAGGCGAUGAAAGACGUGGCACGCUGCGAAAAGCCAUGGGGAGCCGCGAGCAGGCUUUGAUCCGUGGAUAUCUGAAUGGGGCAACCCACCCAGCGAUGGGUAUCAUGUUCUGAAUACAUAGGGACAUGAGGCGAACCCGGGGAACUGAAACAUCUAAGUACCCGGAGGAAAAGACAUCAAUUGAGAUUCUGCUAGUAGUGGCGAGCGAACGCGGAACAGGCCAGUGGCUGUUUUUGAAGAAGCAGAACGGAAUGGAAAGUCCGGCCAGAGCGGGUGAUAGCCCCGUAUGCGUAGUGUCAGGAACAGUCCUUGAGUAGGGCGGGACACGUGAAAUCCUGUCUGAACAUGGGGGGACCACCCUCCAAGCCUAAAUACUCCCUGGUGACCGAUAGUGAACAAGUACCGUGAGGGAAAGGUGAAAAGCACCCCGACGAGGGGAGUGAAAGAGACCUGAAACCGAAUGCCUACAAGCAGUCGGAGCCUCUUAUGGGGUGACGGCGUACCUUUUGUAUAAUGGGUCAGCGAGUUUCUGUUUGCAGCAAGCUUAAGCCGUUAGGUGUAGGCGCAGCGAAAGCGAGUCUGAAUAGGGCGACGAGUUGCUGGCAGAAGACCCGAAACCGAGUGAUCUAGCCAUGGCCAGGCUGAAGGUGCGGUAACACGCACUGGAGGGCCGAACCCACGCCUGUUGAAAAAGUCGGGGAUGAGCUGUGGCUAGGGGUGAAAGGCCAAUCAAACUCGGAAAUAGCUGGUUCUCCGCGAAAUCUAUUGAGGUAGACCGUCGAGUAUUACCCCGGGGGGUAGAGCACUGGAUGGGCUAGGGGGGCCCAAAGCCUUACCAAACCUAACCAAACUCCGAAUACCCGGAAGUAUGAGCUCGGCAGACAGACAGUGGGUGCUAAGGUCCAUUGUCGAGAGGGAAACAGCCCAGACCACCAGCUAAGGCCCCCAAAUCGUGGCUAAGUGGGAAAGGAUGUGAGGAUUCCAAAACAACCAGGAGGUUGGCUUAGAAGCAGCCAUCCUUUAAAGAAAGCGUAAUAGCUCACUGGUCUAAUAGAAACCUUGCGCCGAAAAUGUAACGGGGCUCAAGCCACGUGCCGAAGCUGUGGGUGCAUUCUAUGAAUGCGCGGUAGCGGAGCGUUCCGUAGGUCUGUGAAGGAGACGGGGUGACCCUCUCUGGAGAUAUCGGAAGUGCGAAUGCUGACAUGAGUAGCGACAAACAGUGCGAGAAACACUGUCGCCGAAAGUCCAAGGGUUCCUGCGCAAGGUUAAUCCGCGCAGGGUGAGCCGGCCCCUAAGGCGAGGGCGAAAGCCGUAGUCGAUGGAAACCGGGCAAAUAUUCCCGGGCCUGCCAGAAGUGACGAAUACAAUAUGUUGUCGGGUCUUAUCGGAUUGAUCCGGCUUUUGGAGUAUUCCAGGAAAUAGCUCUGGCAUAUAGACCGUACCCGAAACCGACACAGGUGGACUGGUAGAGAAUACCAAGGCGCUUGAGAGAACGAUGCUGAAGGAACUAGGCAAAUUACUUGCGUAACUUCGGGAUAAGCAAGACCCGUCAGUGGGCAACCAUCGGCGGGUGGCACAGACCAGGGGGUAGCGACUGUUUAGUAAAAACACAGGGCUGUGCGAAGUCGAGAGACGACGUAUACGGCCUGACGCCUGCCCGGUGCCGGAAGGUUAAGAGGAGGUGUGCAAGCACCGAAUUGAAGCCCCGGUAAACGGCGGCCGUAACUAUAACGGUCCUAAGGUAGCGAAAUUCCUUGUCGGGUAAGUUCCGACCUGCACGAAUGGCGUAACGACUUCCCCGCUGUCUCCAGCAUCGGCUCAGCGAAAUUGAAUUCCCCGUGAAGAUGCGGGGUACCCGCGGUCAGACGGAAAGACCCUAUGAACCUUUACUGCAGCUUUGCAGUGGCAUCAGAGACAUUCUGUGUAGGAUAGGUGGGAGGCUUUGAAACCGGGGCGCCAGUUCCGGUGGAGCCAUCCUUGAAAUACCACCCUGACUGUUUCUGAUGUCUAACCGAGGCCUGUUAGCCAGGUCCGGGACCCUGCAUGGUGGGCAGUUUGACUGGGGCGGUCGCCUCCCAAAGUGUAACGGAGGCGCGCGAUGGUGGGCUCAGGCCGGUCGGAAACCGGCUGUCGAGUGCAAUGGCAUAAGCCCGCCUGACUGUGAGAGUGACAGCUCGAUCAGAGACGAAAGUCGGCCAUAGUGAUCCGGUGGUCCCGCGUGGAAGGGCCAUCGCUCAACGGAUAAAAGGUACUCUAGCAGCCUGUCGGGUUGGGCAUUUUGCGGCUGAUAACGCCGAGGCUGACCCGGCUUAUGCUGCCUGAAGCCGUGCCAUUCUUUUGCAGUUGUAUGCGAGAGCGACGAGGGUCCAUUCAGUCGUGACUUUUGCAAGGCCACGCAGACUGAAUCUUCUGAAGCCCAUGAUGCUUUUGAUAAUUCCAAAGACCGGUUCAACGGUCUGUUUUCGUAGUCUGUAAAUAUUUCCGGCUUUUGUGGUUUCCAGUUUUUUCUUCAUGGCAAGCCGCCAGGGUUCGGUGAUCCGGCGU